Molecule: ribosomal RNA, 460 nt
Filed under: uncultured bacterium
Lineage: Bacteria
Description: partial 16S ribosomal RNA
Rfam family: Bacterial small subunit ribosomal RNA
Source: RNAcentral
CCUACGGGUGGCAGCAGUGAGGAAUAUUGGUCAAUGGGCGCUAGCCUGAACCAGCCAAGUAGCGUGAAGGAUGACGGCUCUAUGGAUUGUAAACCUCUUUUAUAUGGGAAUAAAGUGCGGUACGUGUACUGCUUUGCAUGUACCUUAUGAAUAAGGAUCGGCUAACUCCGUGCCAGCAGCCGCGGUAAUACGGAGGAUCCGAGCGUUAUCCGGAUUUAUUGGGUUUAAAGGGUGCGUAGGCGGCUUUUUAAGUCAGCGGUGAAAGUUUGUGGCUCAACCAUAGAAUUGCCGUUGAUACUGGCAGGCUUGAGUAUGUUUGAGGCAGGCGGAAUGCGUGGUGUAGCGGUGAAAUGCUUAGAUAUCACGAAGAACCCCGAUUGCGAAGGCAGCCUGCUAGACCGUGACUGACGCUGAUGCUCGAAAGCGUGGGUAUCAAACAGGAUUAGAUACCCUGGUAGUC